This 218-nucleotide ribosomal RNA is filed under the name uncultured soil bacterium. RNAcentral's name for it is "partial 16S ribosomal RNA". It matches the Rfam family "Bacterial small subunit ribosomal RNA", at positions 26 to 245 of the family's 1533-position model. The record is from RNAcentral.
AGAUUGAACGCUGGCGGCAGGCCUAACACAUGCAAGUCGAGCGGCAGCACGGGUACUUGUAUCUGGUGGCGAGCGGCGGACGGGUGAGUAAUGCCUAGGAAUCUGCCGGGUAGUGGGGGAUAACGCUCGGAAACGGCGCUAAUACCGCAUACGUCCUACGGGAGAAAGCAGGGGACCUUCGGGCCUUGCGCUAUCAGAUGAGCCUAGGUCGGAUUAGC